UCUUUGCCCUCUCGGGGCGGAAGGAACGCGGCCAGCCAGAGAAAGGCCCGGCACGACCCAGCAGCCCGAGUCGGGGGGAGCGGCCCCCCUUUUGCCGAGCGGGCUGCGAGUUGGGGCCGCCCUGCGGGCGGUGACUGGAGCGGCCCUGCCCAGAUACUGCGGCGGGCCGGCAGCUCGGCCCCCGGGGCUCCUCCGGCAGCGUGGAGCGGGUGGGGGCGCGCAGUCCAGCCGGGCGGCCUUGGGGUUCUGAGGCCCAGCCGCAGGGGUAGACUCGGCCUGAAGGAUCUCGACGCUACAAUUUCUGGUUCUGAAUUUCUCAACUGGGGCCUAAUCCCCUAGGGACACUAAGGGUGGCGGGAUGAGUUUCCGGAGCAGUGCUCCCCUUCUCCCCCAGCCCUUUUUCUCUGUCCUCCUCUUCAGACCUUUCAUUUUUUUCUUUUCUGCUAGUUUAAUAGUUGGGGAAUGAAUGCUCUGAGUGGGGAAGAAUUAGGCCAGGGGGUGCCCUUGCCCAGUUGGCGCUUUCUCCGUGUGCGCUGACCUGCGGUCAUGGCUUGGAGCGACCCGUGGAAAGGGCGGAGUCCUCAAGUGGAGGAGCUUCUAAUGAACAUGAUUCAGCUCUUGUCCUGCAACACAAAAGCCAAGACUGAAACUGAGAGAAUUCACCUGGGUGAAUGCCACUCCGAGGCCUCCUAGCCCCCCAGCUUUCUGAUACCCCAACUUAGCACCGCCUCCUAUGCACUUUUAUACAGAAAUGAAUCUGCAUUUAGAUCAGAAAUCAAAACAUUGCAAAGAUUUGAGGAGCUUUGUAACUAAUUUCUGUUUAUGAAUAAAACUCUUAAAAUGAA
This is a long non-coding RNA of Lemur catta (Ring-tailed lemur), 845 nucleotides long. RefSeq lists it as uncharacterized. The transcript is spliced from 2 exons. The record is from RefSeq and is a predicted model, not a curated record. NCBI's taxonomy places the organism in Eukaryota, Metazoa, Chordata, Mammalia, Primates, Lemuridae.